AACGGUCUAUACCUGCGGUACCUGCGGAAGGAUCAUCACUGAUUCCGGGGAGUGCGCCGCCGCGUCGCGUGGUGUAUUCCGCGCGCCGUGUGCGUGCGCGCACCCCAACCAAUCUUUUGUGCACGGUUUCACGGUCAACGAGGCGCCGCGUGUGUGUUGGCGAGUGGUGGGUGGGGUGGUAUUUGCCCGGCCCGGCGUCCCCCAGGGGGCGCGCUUGCCAGCCGCAUGCGCGUGCGUUCU
This 240-nucleotide unclassified non-coding RNA is filed under the name soil metagenome. RNAcentral's name for it is "partial contains 5.8S ribosomal RNA, internal transcribed spacer 2, and large subunit ribosomal RNA". The record is from RNAcentral.